CGAUGGCAGAUGAUCGCUGGCGGGCAGCAAUGUUCGCGAGAGGAAAGUCCGAACACCAUACGGCAGCAUGCCGCGGAAAACACGCGGGCGUCGCAGUUGAAAGAUUGCGGUGACGGAAAGUGUCACAGAAAACAUACCGCCGGUUCUUUGGCAACGAAGUGCAGGCAAGGGUGAAAAGGCGAGGUAAGAGCUCACCGCUCGCGGAGCGAUCCGCGAGGCACGAAAAACCCCAUGCGGUGCAAGACAGAACAGAGGUAGGACAGCCGGUCCGUUGAUCCUCGGGUAUCGUCGCAUCACGCCGCGCGCAAGCGCGGCGGGCGGCUCACGCAAGUGAGUUCGAGAUAAAUGAUCAUCCACCGGAGAAAUUCGGGAGACAGAAUUCGGCUUAUCGCCAUCGAAAU
RNAcentral lists this RNase P RNA (401 nucleotides) under Verrucomicrobiota bacterium. RNAcentral describes it as "RNase P RNA component class A". It matches the Rfam family "Bacterial RNase P class A". Rfam says of the family: Ribonuclease P (RNase P) is a ubiquitous endoribonuclease, found in archaea, bacteria and eukarya as well as chloroplasts and mitochondria. Its best characterised activity is the generation of mature 5'-ends of tRNAs by cleaving the 5'-leader elements of precursor-tRNAs. Cellular RNase Ps are ribonucleoproteins. Lineage: Bacteria; Pseudomonadati; Verrucomicrobiota. The record is from RNAcentral.